AAUGUCGCCGGCGACCGGCGGCCGGCCAUCGUGCGUGGUGGUUCCGGCGGUGGCUCCGGUGGGCUAUGGAGAUGAUUCAACUUCCAGAGGCUUCCUCAUAAAUUUUUGGAAUUUUUGAGACACAGAUAAACUUUGGGUGAUCGAGGUCAGCUAUUUUUCUGCAUCCAGCAGCCACAAUAGUCAUCGGUGUACUGCCACAGGAGGAGUUAUUUUACAGAGCAACCUGUUUUCUUCCUCGUAGGUUUAACGUCGAUUAUUUAAUUGUUUUACUAUCUUUUCUAAAUUUAAAAUCUAGAACUUCGCAUGUGUUAGUAAUAGUAUGGACCUUGUUAGAAAUUGUGUUAAAUUAAAUUUUUGAGAUUUAUAAAUGAAGAUUUGUAUGGUAUUUAAACAGUUUGUAAAUGAGGUAACAGGAUUGAGCUGGGCUCCCCUAAUUUUAAGUUUUCUGAAAAUUUCUGGGCUAAGUUGGCCCGAAAUGAAAUUAUAACAGUUUAAUUUAAAUUAUCUUAUAUGCAUAUUGGGUCUAAAUUGUGGGCCUGGUUAUGGAUUUGAGGAAUAGUUAGGCUUACUACGGUCCUCGGGGGCUUUAAGCUGGCCCAGGUCCUAGUG
Hevea brasiliensis (rubber tree) is the source of this 609-nucleotide long non-coding RNA. RefSeq lists it as uncharacterized. The transcript is spliced from 3 exons. NCBI's taxonomy places the organism in Eukaryota, Viridiplantae, Streptophyta, Magnoliopsida, Malpighiales, Euphorbiaceae. The record is from RefSeq and is a predicted model, not a curated record.